Molecule: ribosomal RNA, 572 nt
Filed under: Hyaloscypha spinulosa
Lineage: Eukaryota; Fungi; Ascomycota; Leotiomycetes; Helotiales; Hyaloscyphaceae
Description: partial 28S ribosormal RNA
Rfam family: Eukaryotic large subunit ribosomal RNA
Source: RNAcentral
AAACCAACAGGGAUUGCCUCAGUAACGGCGAGUGAAGCGGCAACAGCUCAAAUUUGAAAUCUGGCUCUUUCAGGGUCCGAGUUGUAAUUUGUAGAAGAUGCUUUGGGUGUAGCUCCGGUCUAAGUUCCUUGGAACAGGACGUCAUAGAGGGUGAGAAUCCCGUACGUGACUGGUUGCUUUCGCUCGUGUAAAGCUCUUUCGACGAGUCGAGUUGUUUGGGAAUGCAGCUCAAAAUGGGUGGUAAAUUUCAUCUAAAGCUAAAUAUUGGCCAGAGACCGAUAGCGCACAAGUAGAGUGAUCGAAAGAUGAAAAGCACUUUGGAAAGAGAGUUAAACAGUACGUGAAAUUGUUGAAAGGGAAGCGCUUGCAACCAGACUUGCGCGCUGUUGAUCAUCCGAGCUUUUGCCCGGUGCACUCGGCAGCGUUCAGGCCAGCAUCGGUUUUGGUGGGCGGAUAAAGGCCUUGGGAAUGUAGCUUCUUUCGGGGAGUGUUAUAGCCCUCGGUGCAAUGCGCCCUACCGGGACCGAGGACCGCGCUUCGGCUAGGAUGCUGGCGUAAUGGUUGUAAGCGAC